RNAcentral lists this ribosomal RNA (449 nucleotides) under uncultured bacterium. RNAcentral describes it as "bacterial SSU rRNA". It matches the Rfam family "Bacterial small subunit ribosomal RNA", at positions 330 to 795 of the family's 1533-position model. The record is from RNAcentral.
CCCAGACUCCUACGGGAGGCAGCAGUGGGGAAUAUUGCACAAUGGGGGGAACCCUGAUGCAGCGACGCCGCGUGGGUGAAGGAGUAUUUCGGUAUGUAAAGCCCUCUCAGCAGGGAAGAACAAUGACGGUACCUGACUAAGAAGCACCGGCUAACUACGUGCCAGCAGCCGCGGUAAUACGUAGGGGGCAAGCGUUAUCCGGAUUUACUGGGUGUAAAGGGAGCGUAGACGGCUGUGCAAGCCAGAUGUGAAAGCCCGGGGCUCAACCCCGGGACUGCAUUUGGAACUGCGUGGCUUGAGUGUCGGAGAGGCAGGCGGAAUUCCUAGUGUAGCGGUGAAAUGCGUAGAUAUUAGGAGGAACACCAGUGGCGAAGGCGGCCUGCUGGACGAUGACUGACGUUGAGGCUCGAAAGCGUGGGGAGCAAACAGGAUUAGAUACCCUAGUAGCA